AUUGAACGCUGGCGGCAUGCCUUACACAUGCAAGUCGAACGGCAGCACGGGUGCUUGCACCUGGUGGCGAGUGGCGAACGGGUGAGUAAUACAUCGGAACAUGUCCUGUAGUGGGGGAUAGCCCGGCGAAAGCCGGAUUAAUACCGCAUACGAUCCACGGAUGAAAGCGGGGGACCUUCGGGCCUCGCGCUAUAGGGUUGGCCGAUGGCUGAUUAGCUAGUUGGUGGGGUAAAGGCCUACCAAGGCGACGAUCAGUAGCUGGUCUGAGAGGACGACCAGCCACACUGGGACUGAGACACGGCCCAGACUCCUACGGGAGGCAGCAGUGGGGAAUUUUGGACAAUGGGCCAAAGCCUGAUCCAGCAAUGCCGCGUGUGUGAAGAAGGCCUUCGGGUUGUAAAGCACUUUUGUCCGGAAAGAAAUCCUUGACUCUAAUACAGUCGGGGGAUGACGGUACCGGAAGAAUAAGCACCGGCUAACUACGUG
This 486-nucleotide ribosomal RNA is filed under the name uncultured bacterium. Its description in RNAcentral is "partial 16S ribosomal RNA". It matches the Rfam family "Bacterial small subunit ribosomal RNA", at positions 30 to 507 of the family's 1533-position model. The record is from RNAcentral.